AGAGUUUGAUCAUGGCUCAGAACGAACGUUAGCGGCGCGCCUAACACAUGCAAGUCGCACGAGAAAGGGCUUCGGCCCCGGUACAGUGGCGCACGGGUGAGUAACACGUGGGUAAUCUUCCCUCGGGCGGGGGAUAACCUUCCGAAAGGAGGGCUAAUACCGCAUAAGACCACGGCUUCGGAAGGAGCAGCGGUCAAAGCAGGCCUCUUCGUGAAAGCUUGCACCUGAGGAUGAGUCCGCGGCCCAUCAGCUAGUUGGUAGGGUAAUGGCCUACCAAGGCGAAGACGGGUAGCUGGUCUGAGAGGAUGAUCAGCCACACUGGAACUGAGACACGGUCCAGACUCCUACGGGAGGCAGCAGUGGGGAAUCUUGCGCAAUGGACGAAAGUCUGACGCAGCGACGCCGCGUGGGUGAUGAAGGCCUUCGGGUUGUAAAGCCCUGUGGGGAGAGACGAAUAAGUGUUGGCUAAUAUCCAGCGCGAUGACGGUAUCUCCUUAGCAAGCACCGGCUAACUCUGUGCCAGCCGCCGCGGUAAUAC
Molecule: ribosomal RNA, 538 nt
Filed under: uncultured bacterium
Lineage: Bacteria
Description: bacterial SSU rRNA
Rfam family: Bacterial small subunit ribosomal RNA
Source: RNAcentral